GAUGAAGAACGCAGCGAAAUGCGAUAAGUAAUGUGAAUUGCAGAAUUCAGUGAAUCAUCGAAUCUUUGAACGCACAUUGCGCCCGCCAGUAUUCUGGCGGGCAUGCCUGUUCGAGCGUCAUCUCAACCAUCAAGCCCCAGGCUUGUGUUGGGGACCUGCGGCUGCCGCAGGCCCUGAAAACCAGUGGCGGGCUCGCUGUCACACCGGGCGUAGUAGAUUUUAUCUCGCUCAGGGCGUGCUGCGGGUUCCGGCCGUUAAAAAGCCUUUUUUACCCAAGGUUGACCUCGGAUCAGGUAGGAAGACCCGCUGAACUUAAGCAUAUCAAUAAGCGGAGGA
Molecule: unclassified non-coding RNA, 336 nt
Filed under: soil metagenome
Description: partial contains 5.8S ribosomal RNA, internal transcribed spacer 2, and large subunit ribosomal RNA
Rfam family: 5.8S ribosomal RNA (bases 1-120)
Source: RNAcentral